GUUCUCAUGAUAGUGAAUGGGUCUCACAAGAUCUGAUGGAUUUAAAGACGGGAGUUUCUCUGCACAAGCUCUCUCUUUUUGCCUGCUGCCGUCCACAUAAGAUGUGACUUGCUCCUCCUUGACUUUUGCCUUCCACCAUGAUUGUGAGGCCUCCCCAGCCACAUGGAACUUGUAUUCCGUUGAAAAUACCAUGGAACAUUAAGGAAAUGGUGGAGGAUGGGGUGAGGAGGCUGAGAAAAUUCAGUUACAUAACUGAAGUGCUGAAGAAUGAGGACCAAAGGGUGGAAACUGUGUGGAGGAGGAAGGAAAAUUGAAGCAUUUUCUCAGAAGAUCUGCCCCCUUACCCCACUACUCCCCCAGGACCAUCACAAUGAAGAUGGUAUCAUUACUUGCUCGUCAGAGCCAACAUUUGGACACUAUUAUUUACAAGAAGACUCUAACAAAAUUAUGCAAGAGCAAAAACUUAAGCCAGAGGACAAUGGAAAGAUUAAAAAAUGAUUUCAUAGCACGAGUAAAUGUCUAUCUAUCUGGGUCCUGCCAAACACAGAAUAGAGGGGAGAUCCUGGAGGAAUGACAGAGGAAACAAAGGCAUUUGGCUGCUAAUCUGCAACCCAAUCAUUCGUAAUCUACCAAACAAUCAUUGUCUACUUACGAUAAAUUAGAAUUGGGACAGUGUGCGAUGGAUGCUCCUCGUUCAUGGAAUACGUUCAGUUCUUCUGCAGAGAGGUAGCAGCCGUGUGCCAUCACUGUCUGGAGAGAAGAGUGCCCUACGUGGAGUUUACCGCUCACAAAUGAUUAAGUGGGUACUCACUCACAAGGUAUUUUAGAGAGAGACCGAAGCUGUAGCUUGGCUGUUAGCAUCUUCACAAGAACAUUUAUGAUGAUCUAUAUGUACAAAGUUGCUAGGUACAAGUUAUACCUUAGAAAAGGCCUGUAAACACAUUGUCUUACGAAAGUCUCAGGAAAUUUGUGGAGUUUACUUAGAUUCUUUUUGUUGAUCUAUAAAGUAAUGAGGGUUUGGUCCAGGUGAUCUACAGCACAGAAUAUCCAUCCAGAUGGAAGAUAACAUGAUUUUCUCAUCUCUACUUUAGAAGACUGUCAAGUUACUUUCUUUUCUAAGUUUAUAUGGGAAGCAACUGGUAGUGUUGUGCUUGCUCCAAUUCUAAAAAAACUUUCUAGAACUAAAAGUCCCUUCUCAGUAUGUGAAAGCUGUGAGAGUAAUCCUGCAAAGCGCUGUUCUUUAUUUCUGCUCCUAGCUUCAAUGUAAGUGCCAAUGGCCUUGAUAUUUUCAACUAAAUAAACUUUUAACUCACCUACGUUUAUAUUUUCAUAAAAACUAGGAAAUUUAACAUCUUAUAAUCAUUAAUUCAGAAAGUAAAAUUGAUCCAAGAAAGCAGGCACUGCACACACAUGAGACCUCUCUAAAUUUUUAAUGUUGGUAGUAUUUAUUUGUAGAUUUUCUUAAAUAAGACUUUACUCUUUCAAAAUUAUUUUUCUCUCAGUACAAAACCUGUACCCAACUUGCUUUCCCCUUUGAGAGGCACGGUUCAGUGACUACAGAAUUAUUAUUUUUCUGAGACAGAGUCUCACUCUGUCGCCCAGGCUGGAGUGCAGUGGCGCAAUCUCGACUCUCUGCAAGCUCCGCCUCCUGGGUUCACGCCAUUCUCCUAUCUCAGCUUCCCG
RNAcentral lists this long non-coding RNA (1683 nucleotides) under Homo sapiens (human). Its description in RNAcentral is "LHRI_LNC1523.10". Lineage: Eukaryota; Metazoa; Chordata; Mammalia; Primates; Hominidae. The record is from RNAcentral.